Molecule: unclassified non-coding RNA, 311 nt
Filed under: plant metagenome
Description: partial contains 5.8S ribosomal RNA, internal transcribed spacer 2, and large subunit ribosomal RNA
Rfam family: 5.8S ribosomal RNA (bases 1-105)
Source: RNAcentral
GAAAUGCGAUAAGUAGUGUGAAUUGCAGAAUUCAGUGAAUCAUCGAAUCUUUGAACGCACAUUGCGCCCGCCAGUAUUCUGGCGGGCAUGCCUGUUCGAGCGUCAUUUCAACCCUCAAGCCCGGCUUGUGUGAUGGGCCCCGGCGUCUCGUUCGCGAGACGGGCCCGAAAGGCAGCGGCGGCGUCGACCCGAUGAGCCCGAGCGUAUGGGGACUUCUGUCACACGUUCGCGGUGCGGACCGGCGCCUGCUUGACUCUUCUGAUUAUCCAGGUUGACCUCGGAUCAGGUAGGGAUACCCGCUGAACUUAAGC